This 206-nucleotide ribosomal RNA is filed under the name uncultured bacterium. RNAcentral's name for it is "partial 16S ribosomal RNA". It matches the Rfam family "Bacterial small subunit ribosomal RNA", at positions 1296 to 1500 of the family's 1533-position model. The record is from RNAcentral.
GAUUGUAGUCUGCAACCCGACUACAUGAAGCUGGAAUCGCUAGUAAUCGCGGAUCAGAAUGCCGCGGUGAAUACGUUCCCGGGUCUUGUACACACCGCCCGUCACACCAGUGGGAGCCGGUAACGCCCGAAGUCAGUGACCCAACCGAGAGGAGGGAGCUGCCGAAGGCGGGACAGGUAACUGGGGUGAAGUCGUAACAAGGUAAC